UAGGGGAUCUUCCACAAUGGGCGCAAGCCUGAUGGAGCAACACCGCGUGAGUGAAGAAGGGUUUCGGCUCGUAAAGCUCUGUUGUUAAAGAAGAACACGUAUGAGAGUAACUGUUCAUACGUUGACGUAUUUAACCAGAAAGUCACGGCUAACUACGCGCCAG
This 163-nucleotide ribosomal RNA is filed under the name uncultured bacterium. RNAcentral's name for it is "partial 16S rRNA". It matches the Rfam family "Bacterial small subunit ribosomal RNA", at positions 355 to 511 of the family's 1533-position model. The record is from RNAcentral.